Molecule: ribosomal RNA, 686 nt
Filed under: uncultured bacterium
Lineage: Bacteria
Description: bacterial SSU rRNA
Rfam family: Bacterial small subunit ribosomal RNA (bases 1-561)
Source: RNAcentral
CCUACGGGAGGCAGCAGUAAGGAAUAUUGGUCAAUGGGCGCAAGCCUGAACCAGCCAUGCCGCGUGCAGGAUGACGGCCCUCUGGGUUGUAAACUGCUUUUAUACGGGAAGAACAGCAUCUACGUGUAGGUGUUUGACGGUACUGUAAGAAUAAGGACCGGCUAACUUCGUGCCAGCAGCCGCGGUAAUACGAAGGGUCCAAGCGUUAUCCGGAUUUAUUGGGUUUAAAGGGUGCGUAGGCGGCUUUUUAAGUCAGUGGUGAAAGCCUGAUGCUCAACAUCAGAACUGCCAUUGAUACUGAAGAGCUUGAGUACAGUUGAGGUUGGCGGAAUGUGUCAUGUAGCGGUGAAAUGCUUAGAUAUGACACAGAACACCGAUUGCGAAGGCAGCUAGCUAAGCUGUUACUGACGCUGAUGCACGAAGACGGUGGGGUAGGACGAACAAGGAGUAGUAUACCUACGGUAGUACCGACCGACCCGUAACCGUUACGUAUAACUACGUUGUUAGUCGAUAUACUAGUUAGUCGACCGACGACGAACGACGAGUUAAGUUUAAGUUACCGUAACCGUACGGGUAAGGGUUAACGGGUUACGGUCGAAGAGUUAGUUAACGUUACGAAAGUAAGUUAGUUAGGUUACGGUUCGGAGGAGACGCGACCGGACGGACGACGACGGAGGGAGGUUAGG